UUCAACUAAAAUAGAAUACAUGAUAGUGUUGGGAAAGCAUUAAGAACAGCUAACUAAGGCCACGUGACUACCAGCCACAUCCUCGCUUGACCCGGGCUUGAAGCCUUGUUCACAUAUGGUCGCAACGGUCGUAAAAAAUACAGUCGCGAUCUUUCUCAACGGCCAGAUUAUAAUCGUUUUUACCUACUAAUUGCAAGUGCUUAAUUAUCCUAGUUUAAUGUUUGUAAAUAUCUUAAAACACUUAACUACAUAAUUGCAUGUGUAUAAUUAUCGUUGUUUAAUGCUUUUUACAAAUUUCUAUUUCAUAUACUGUAUAUUACUAAUAAUAUU
Molecule: non-coding RNA, 330 nt
Organism: Paramuricea clavata
Lineage: Eukaryota; Metazoa; Cnidaria; Anthozoa; Malacalcyonacea; Plexauridae
Source: the annotation of a GenBank genome assembly